RNAcentral lists this ribosomal RNA (279 nucleotides) under uncultured bacterium. Its description in RNAcentral is "partial 16S ribosomal RNA". It matches the Rfam family "Bacterial small subunit ribosomal RNA", at positions 506 to 784 of the family's 1533-position model. The record is from RNAcentral.
UGCCAGCCGCCGCGGUAAUACAGAGGGUGCAAACGUUGUUCGGAAUCACUGGGCAUAAAGCGCGCGUAGGCGGCAAGGCUAGUGCAGAGUGAAAGCCCACGGCUCACCCGUGGAACUGCUUUGCAUACUGCCUUGCUAGAGUACGGUAGGGGAGAGCGGAACUCUUGGAGGAGCGGUGAAAUGCGUAGAUAUCAAGAGGAACACCAAAGGCGAAGGCAGCUCUCUGGUCCGUCACUGACGCUGAGGCGCGAAAGCCAGGGUAGCGAACGGGAUUAGAUA